Molecule: ribosomal RNA, 253 nt
Filed under: uncultured bacterium
Lineage: Bacteria
Description: partial 16S ribosomal RNA
Rfam family: Bacterial small subunit ribosomal RNA
Source: RNAcentral
UACGUAGGUGGCAAGCGUUGUCCGGAUUUACUGGGCGUAAAGCGUGCGUAGGUGGUUUGUUAAGUCUGAUGUGAAAGCCCUGGGCUCAACCUGGGAAUUGCAUUGGAUACUGGCAGGCUAGAGUGCGGUAGAGGGUAGUGGAAUUCCCGGUGUAGCAGUGAAAUGCGUAGAAAUCGGGAGGAACACCAGUGGCGAAGGCGACUACCUGGACCAGCACUGACACUGAGGCACGAAAGCGUGGGGAGCAAACAGG